GCUAAUUUGGUCUCAGUGCCCUCGUCGUUCAAUCCCAAAUCCCCUACAGAGCAGCAGUCCCAACGCUGGCGGCGGCGGCCCAGAUCCCUCCUCAAGCUGGGCGAGUUCAGAUAAUCUCCGAUGGCUGCUGGCCGUCGUGUCGCCGACGGUGCAGUUUGAGUCGGUUCGUCGCCUCCUCUCUCUCUCUCAGGCACAUCAGCUCGUGACCUCCUCCCCCUCGUUUAGCGGCAAGCCGGUGGUGAGCUCCUCAGGUCCUUCCCAACCGCCCAAUGCGACUUGGUGUAAACCUACAAAUCUUCAACACAGUUGUUCAUUUUCCUGGUAAAUAGAUGUUAACUUUGUUUGCUAUUUGUGCUGCAGCCCAAUUUUACUGUAUCAAGUAAAUUUAUGCUUUAUCUGUACAGUUCUAUUUUCAUGUACUUGUUCGUCUUAAAUCUGCUUGUGUGUGAAUGAUGCAUUUUAGUAACUUCAGUUUGUUCGUGUAUUGCUCCUGUUCUUGGUGGUUUGGUACUCUAAUUUGGAACUUUUGUUUCUCUGUUAAGUAAUCUGUAGAACCAAGUUGGAGGGUUGAGGACGGUUGGAUAAUCUUAGGGUCUUGAAGUUUAGGACAAUUCACUAAAAAGCUCAGUACCUGCAGUUCCAAGAAAGUAAACUGCGAUAGGUCGCCGAGCAACAGUAGUGCUUCCCAGUUCAAGAUAUAUGUAAAACUAGCUCUCAAAGUCGAUGGUAUCAAACUUACAAUUUGUCUUGCAGGGUUCUCUGUAUAAGCCCCAGUGUAAUAGCGUGUAAUAAUAUGCAUCUGCAGGGCAGUCAUAAAACUCCCUUUGAAUUGCUC
Molecule: non-coding RNA, 835 nt
Organism: Triticum urartu
Lineage: Eukaryota; Viridiplantae; Streptophyta; Magnoliopsida; Poales; Poaceae
Source: RefSeq, a predicted model, not a curated record